This 468-nucleotide ribosomal RNA is filed under the name uncultured bacterium. RNAcentral's name for it is "partial 16S ribosomal RNA". It matches the Rfam family "Bacterial small subunit ribosomal RNA", at positions 28 to 507 of the family's 1533-position model. The record is from RNAcentral.
GAUGAACGCUGGCGGCGUGCUUAACACAUGCAAGUCGAACGGUGAAGGCGGAGCUUGCUCUGCUGGAUUAGUGGCGAACGGGUGAGUAACACGUGAGCAAUCUGCCCCUGACUCUGGGAUAAGCGCUGGAAACGGCGUCUAAUACUGGAUACGAGCUGCGAAGGCAUCUUCAGCAGCUGGAAAGAAUUUCGGUCAGGGAUGAGCUCGCGGCCUAUCAGCUUGUUGGUGAGGUAAUGGCUCACCAAGGCGUCGACGGGUAGCCGGCCUGAGAGGGUGACCGGCCACACUGGGACUGAGACACGGCCCAGACUCCUACGGGAGGCAGCAGUGGGGAAUAUUGCACAAUGGGCGAAAGCCUGAUGCAGCAACGCCGCGUGAGGGACGACGGCCUUCGGGUUGUAAACCUCUUUUAGCAGGGAAGAAGCGAAAGUGACGGUACCUGCAGAAAAAGCGCCGGCUAACUACGUG